CUUUGCCUUCAUUCUUGGUCC
This 21-nucleotide non-coding RNA is filed under the name Arabidopsis thaliana (thale cress). Lineage: Eukaryota; Viridiplantae; Streptophyta; Magnoliopsida; Brassicales; Brassicaceae. The record is from RNAcentral.